UUGACGUUUUUGACCAGCUAUGUCACGGUAAAUCAGUAUCAAGAAGAACUAAAAAAUGGCCUUUACGAGUAUUAUAUGGCAUGCUUGAUGGAGGUGCCGUAAAUUCGUAUGUAAUUUACCAAGCAAACAACAGCAAUACUAAUAAAAAAUUCCACGAAUAAUGUUCUUAUUGCAGCUGGGCGAGGAACUAACUAUAAAACAUAUGAAGAGGAGGCUUGAAAUUCCGAAUUUACCAAGUACUCUCAGGCUACAAAUUUUAGAGAUAUUGGGUAUAGCGGAAAGUAACACCUCUAGACAGGCACCACCUCUUGCAGAAAAUAACAAAAGUAAACGCUGCUCUAUUUGUCCUCGGACGCAGGAUAGGAAAGGCAGAGAUCAAUGUGUCAAGUGUGAACAAAAAUUAUGCGCCGAACACAGAAACGCAAUUUGUCAAUUUUGUAUUUAAAUAUUUGGUUGUUUUUUCCUAAUAAAUCUUUUAAAAGUCUU
This is a long non-coding RNA of Anthonomus grandis grandis, 486 nucleotides long. RefSeq lists it as uncharacterized. The record is from RefSeq and is a predicted model, not a curated record. The transcript is spliced from 2 exons. Lineage: Eukaryota; Metazoa; Arthropoda; Insecta; Coleoptera; Curculionidae.